Molecule: transfer RNA, 66 nt
Filed under: Petaurus breviceps (sugar glider)
Lineage: Eukaryota; Metazoa; Chordata; Mammalia; Diprotodontia; Petauridae
Description: tRNA-Cys
Source: RNAcentral
AGUUUUGAAGUAUAUAUUACGCUGAAUUGCAAAUUCAGAGAAGUGGUCUAAUGGCCGCCGAAGCUU